Cinara cedri is the source of this 588-nucleotide non-coding RNA. The record is from the annotation of a GenBank genome assembly. NCBI's taxonomy places the organism in Eukaryota, Metazoa, Arthropoda, Insecta, Hemiptera, Aphididae.
AAAAUACGAAUCAAUUAUUAACAGUAUUAAUACAAUAUUCUCGAGUAGGCAAUACAUCGAGCCGUUAAUUUCCUUCGUUUUCCCUCCCUUUAAAUACACACUUGUUGAAGCGUCUUAGAUUAAUAUAAAAAAUGUAUUAUAGUACGAUAGAGCUUGUUAGUUUAUAAAUUCCAAUUUUCUAAUACAAUUAGUUUAGCAUAUUAUACGAUGAAUGAAUAUCAAUAUGCAACUUAUUACGGAUUCGGGUAUAGCCGACCAAUAGGAAUAAUAAUAUUAUUAUAUGUAAUAAAAUAAUUAUUGCUCCGAACUGUCUUUAUGUAGACGCUCGUGAAGAAAACGAGGACCGUUAUCUACGAACGUACUUUUAUUUUUUUUUUUAUUUUCUCUGUUAUUUUUUUAUCUGUUUGACGUUUUAUGAAAAACACAUUAUAAAAUAUCAGUUUAUCAACAUCACGAAUGCAGGUAUUAUCCCGACAUAUUUUUAUUAGUCAAUUUUGGUGAUUAUUCCUUCUCCCCGAACCGUAUACCGAUCUAAAGCGUUAUUCAUAACAAUAUAUUUUUUAUUUUUCGUCACAAUAGAUACGUUUU